GUAUCUGUAGGUGAACCUGCAGAUGGAUCAUCG
This 33-nucleotide ribosomal RNA is filed under the name Uncinaria sanguinis. RNAcentral's name for it is "partial 18S ribosomal RNA". Lineage: Eukaryota; Metazoa; Nematoda; Chromadorea; Rhabditida; Ancylostomatidae. The record is from RNAcentral.